GGCGUUGUUCCAUCCGCACAUGAUUCUUCUCCCGGAGACGAGUGAUACUGCAGGCAACUGAAGGC
This 65-nucleotide small nucleolar RNA is filed under the name Drosophila simulans. RNAcentral describes it as "snoRNA:GD26655". The record is from RNAcentral. Lineage: Eukaryota; Metazoa; Arthropoda; Insecta; Diptera; Drosophilidae.